UCCCCGGUAGCUCAGUUGGUAGAGCACUCGCCUGUUAAGCGAAAGCGCACUGGUUCGAUGCCAGUCCGGGGAG
Molecule: transfer RNA, 73 nt
Filed under: Massilia sp. CF038
Lineage: Bacteria; Pseudomonadati; Pseudomonadota; Betaproteobacteria; Burkholderiales; Oxalobacteraceae
Rfam family: tRNA
About the family: Transfer RNA (tRNA) molecules are approximately 80 nucleotides in length. Their secondary structure includes four short double-helical elements and three loops (D, anti-codon, and T loops).
Source: Rfam by way of RNAcentral